RNAcentral lists this ribosomal RNA (465 nucleotides) under Vreelandella stevensii. RNAcentral describes it as "partial 16S ribosomal RNA". It matches the Rfam family "Bacterial small subunit ribosomal RNA", at positions 338 to 795 of the family's 1533-position model. The record is from RNAcentral. Lineage: Bacteria; Pseudomonadati; Pseudomonadota; Gammaproteobacteria; Oceanospirillales; Halomonadaceae.
CCUACGGGAGGCUGCAGUGGGGAAUAUUGGACAAUGGGGGCAACCCUGAUCCAGCCAUGCCGCGUGUGUGAAGAAGGCCCUCGGGUUGUAAAGCACUUUCAGUGAGGAAGAACGCCUGGUGGUUAAUACCCAUCAGGAAAGACAUCACUCACAGAAGAAGCACCGGCUAACUCCGUGCCAGCAGCCGCGGUAAUACGGAGGGUGCGAGCGUUAAUCGGAAUUACUGGGCGUAAAGCGCGCGUAGGUGGCUUGAUAAGCCGGUUGUGAAAGCCCCGGGCUCAACCUGGGAACGGCAUCCGGAACUGUCCAGCUAGUGUGCAGGAGAGGAAGGUAGAAUUCCCGGUGUAGCGGUGAAAUGCGUAGAGAUCGGAAGGAAUACCAGUGGCGAAGGCGGCCUUCUGGACUGACACUGACACUGAGGUGCGAAAGCGUGGGUAGCAAACAGGAUUAGAUACCCGAGUAGUC